CAACAGAGCCCUAAUCCUUUACUAUUUCUGUUUUUCUGCUUUAUCAGAUAAUUGUUCGUAUACUAUUCCAUAGAUUUCCGAAGGUCUAGAUUAAAUUACUGAAUAAUUUGAGAUUUUUUUGUUCUAGUAUUUCAUAUUUUUUUCUAACUCUUUUUUGCGUUACUUCCUUGCUAAUUCAAGUCAUUAUUAGGAUAUAUAGGAUAAAUUAGGCGAAAUCAGCUCACAAUUUUUGGUAAUGGAUAUUCAUUGCCACACGUUGGGAAUUCUAUUUUCCUAGAUAUAUUGUAAUUUUGUAUGAGGGAUAUUAGUAUGAUAUUUGAAUUUUAUAUUAUUUUAUGCAUUUAAGAAUCCAGUUUUCAAUAUUUUGGUAAUUUAUACGAGGAUAUCAAUAUUAGUUUAUGGCUCAAAUUUUCAGGACGCAAUGGAAUAACGAGAAGAAGAUGAUUACACGGAUUAUGCUCGAAGGUUCAUUGGAGAGAAGAUGGUGUCCUUUAUAGUGGUUUUAUAGCUUUUUUUUCGUUGAAAUUUGAUGUUUUAUUGUUAGAAUUCAUAGUGGUUUUCGAUGUUUAUAUAGUUGUGUAUACAGAGUGGUUUUCAUGUUUAUAUAGUUGUUUAUACGGAGUGGUUUUCAUAAUGUCAUGCUUUGUCUUUGAUAAAUUUAU
Molecule: long non-coding RNA, 662 nt
Filed under: Erythranthe guttata (spotted monkey flower)
Lineage: Eukaryota; Viridiplantae; Streptophyta; Magnoliopsida; Lamiales; Phrymaceae
Description: long non-coding RNA (EGUT_LNC003119)
Source: RNAcentral